GUGCUCACUUCGCAGCACAUACUAAAAUUGGAACGAUUCAGAGAUUAUUAGCCUGGCCCCUGCGCAAGGAGGACACGUAAAUUCAUGAAGUGUUCCAUAUUUUC
Small nuclear RNA from Pseudophryne corroboree (corroboree frog), 104 nucleotides. The record is from RefSeq and is a predicted model, not a curated record. Lineage: Eukaryota; Metazoa; Chordata; Amphibia; Anura; Myobatrachidae.